UAAAACGUAGGAGGCGAGCGUUAUCCGGAUUUACUGGGCGUAAAGCGUGUGCAGGCGGUCUGGCAAGUUGGAUGUGAAAGCUCCUGGCUCAACUAGGAGAGGUCGUUCAAAACUACCGGACUAGAGUGUAUCAGAGGAAGAUGGAAUUCCCGGUGUAGUGGUGAAAUGCGUAGAUAUCGGGAGGAACACCAGUGGCGAAAGCGAUCUUCUGGGAUAGUACUGACGCUCAGACACGAAAGCUAAGGUAGCGAACGGGAUUAGAGACCCCGGUAGUCUUAGCAGUAAACGAUGUAGACUUGGUGUCGGAGGUGUAAUAGCCUUCGGUAUCGAAGCAAACGCGAUAAGUCUACCGCCUGGGGACUACGGCCGCAAGGUUAAAACUCAAAUGAAUUGACGG
RNAcentral lists this ribosomal RNA (397 nucleotides) under bacterium enrichment culture. RNAcentral describes it as "bacterial SSU rRNA". It matches the Rfam family "Bacterial small subunit ribosomal RNA", at positions 521 to 916 of the family's 1533-position model. The record is from RNAcentral.